This 338-nucleotide unclassified non-coding RNA is filed under the name soil metagenome. Its description in RNAcentral is "partial contains 5.8S ribosomal RNA, internal transcribed spacer 2, and large subunit ribosomal RNA". The stretch from base 3 to 119 matches the Rfam family "5.8S ribosomal RNA", at positions 38 to 154 of the family's 154-position model. The record is from RNAcentral.
GAGAAGAACGUAGCGAAAUGCGAUAACUAAUGUGAAUUGCAGAAUUCAGUGAAUCAUCGAGUCUUUGAACGCACAUUGCGCCCCCUGGUAUUCCGGGGGGCAUGCCUGUCCGAGCGUCAUUGCUGCCCUCAAGCACGGCUUGUGUGUUGGGCUCCGUCCCCCCGGGGACGGGCCCGAAAGGCAGCGGCGGCACCGAGUCCGGUCCUCGAGCGUAUGGGGCUUUGUCACCCGCUCUGUAGGCCCGGCCGGCGCCAGCCGACAACCCAUCAUCCUUUUCAGGUUGACCUCGGAUCAGGUAGGGAUACCCGCUGAACUUAAGCAUAUCAAUAAGCGGAGGA